UAGAUCAAAAGAUAGACACAUUUUUCUCAAACGCAUCAAAUAAGCGGCCAUAUUUUCGGUGCAAGAGUAGUGUCGUUUUCGGCUUGUGCCGUCUAUCAUAUAUAAAAGUUCUGAAAGGGAGGAGUAUAUCUGGAGUACGAUAUUUUUCGUUUGAAACAAGAAGUGAGAGACGCUGUGGUAUUCUGUGGUUCCUUGUGAAAGACUGUUUUCAAAGGCUGGCCAGAUAGUGACAGAGAAGAGGAUUUGUUUGUCUUGUCCCCUCAUCUCACCGUCGCCCACCCUCGACGGAUAGUCGAACACCAGAUGCUAUCCCUGGUCAUUAUGCACAAUGCCACAGUGCGUGCGGCAACUCUCGGUUGAGACAACGAUACCGAUCGCAGCGUUUGAUGAGUACUGUCUGCCUCGUAAGAAUAUUGCAAUGGAGGCCUUCAAAUACAAUUCCAUUGCGCAGAAAGAGAAGCAAACUUUUGCUGAGUUCGAGACUGAGUUGAGAACGCAAGUUCAAUAUUGCGAAUUUAGUUGCGCUACCUGUCAAACAAUCUACAGCGACCGUAUGCUGCGAGAUAGAAUCAUCAAAUUGGGAUUCAGGAUAAGAAGCUGCAACUCAAAUUUCUGGAUGGCAGAGACGACCCCUUAUCAAAGAUCAUCGAGACAUGCAAGAUUUUCGAAGCCGCAUCCGAGAAUAAACAGCUACUGGAUCGGAAGAGUAUUUUUUUGGAAGUGAAGGUGGUUUCGAAGGAGCAAAUUGAUUCGAGUGCCAGGACCGUGGAUGCAGUAACACGUAACCGUUGCUAUAAUUGUGGAAGGCCGUACAAUCAAAAUCAUCGGAGGAAUUGCCCGGCGUCGACUGCUGUAUGUCAUUCGUGUGGAGAAAUUGGCCACUACAGCAAGUGUUGCCGCAAGAAGACAAUGAAGCAGCCAGGAAGUCAUCAACAGUCAUCAAAGUCAGCUGGAAGGAAUGAUAAAACGAUACAUACGGUGAACUGGAAUGACGCUGAUGCAAUUUCCGCGAAAAGCAUUGGUGGGCGAGGAGCAUGAAUUACAGGGCCAGUGUGAACGUGUUAAUAAAGAGAAGUAAAUUUUCAUUCAUAAUUUUCAUUUUCAAAGCGCGUUAUCCCUCCUGAGAAUCGAUUACCAUUUUUACUUUACACCAGCGGAACACGAAGCUUAAUUCCGCAAACACGAAAUCAAAUUGGACUAAUAACUAUGUCAUUACAGUACAGUUUCGAGCUUUUCCUUUAAAUUUUCUCAAAAAUUAAAAAUUACAACAUCCAUCUACGGGCAGAGACGAAUACAACAAAAUGAAGACGGCUCAAUUGGACGAUUUCUUUCUCGGAUUUUGCGUUCACCAACACAUUUGGCGAUCCAUUUUCAUUUAUAUAGAUAUACUAGCUGACUCGGCACACGUUGUUCUGUCAUAUA
This is a long non-coding RNA of Toxorhynchites rutilus septentrionalis, 1422 nucleotides long. RefSeq lists it as uncharacterized. The transcript has 5 exons. Lineage: Eukaryota; Metazoa; Arthropoda; Insecta; Diptera; Culicidae. The record is from RefSeq and is a predicted model, not a curated record.